AUGAGUGUAACUGUACUGUAUACCUAAAAAGUACCAAUAAACUUAAUGAAAAAAAUAUUUAGGGAAUGAAAAAUUUUAAAAUGUCACUUAAAUAUUCCUAUAGGAUGCUAGUGAGCAAAAGACAGAACUUGAGAGACUAAAGCAUAAAAUAGCAGAAGAAGUUCAUAAAAUUGAAGAAAGAAAAAAUAAAAUUGAUGAUGAGUUAAAAGAAGUACAGCCUUUAGUUAAUGAAGCUAAACUUGCAGUGGGAAACAUUAAGCCAGAAUCUCUUUCAGAAAUUCGCUCACUACGUAUGCCACCUGAUAUAAUCCGAGACAUUCUGGAAGGAGUUUUAAGGUUGAUGGGCAUUUUUGAUACCUCUUGGGUGAGCAUGAAAAGGCAAGUUUUUGAAUUUGUGAAAAGUUUUAUUUCAGCAAAGAAGUAAACCU
Molecule: long non-coding RNA, 428 nt
Filed under: Fukomys damarensis (Damara mole-rat)
Lineage: Eukaryota; Metazoa; Chordata; Mammalia; Rodentia; Bathyergidae
Description: lncRNA (ENSFDAG00000021855.1)
Source: RNAcentral